UAAGGGAGUGAAGACGAUCAGAUACCGUCGUAAUCUUAACCAUAAACUAUGCCGACUAGGCUUUGGAUGAAAGAUUUUAAAAUAAGAGUUUUUCUUUUCUCUCCGGAGAUUAGAACUCUUAGAUUGCUUCCUUCAGUGCCUUAUGAGAAAUCA
Molecule: ribosomal RNA, 153 nt
Filed under: Plasmodium knowlesi
Lineage: Eukaryota; Apicomplexa; Aconoidasida; Haemosporida; Plasmodiidae
Description: partial 18S rRNA
Rfam family: Eukaryotic small subunit ribosomal RNA
Source: RNAcentral